GAUGAACGCUAGCGGCAGGCCUAACACAUGCAAGUCGAGGGGCAUCGCGGUGCAGCAAUGCACUGGCGGCGACCGGCGUACGGGUGCGUAACGCGUAUGCAACCUGCCCCGCACCGGGGGAUAGCCCGCCGAAAGGCGGAUUAAUACCCCAGUGGUCCCCGGGGGGCCCGCAUGGGCAUCCGGGUAAAGCCUUGGCGGUGCGGGAUGGGCAUGCGUGCCAUUAGCUGGCUGGUGGGGUAACGGCCCACCAGGGCAACGAUGGCUAGGGGGUCUGAGAGGAUGGUCCCCCACACUGGUACUGAGACACGGACCAGACUCCUACGGGAGGCAGCAGUGAGGAAUAUUGGUCAAUGGGCGGAAGCCUGAACCAGCCAUGCCGCGUGCGGGAUGAAGGCCCUACGGGUUGUAAACCGCUUUUCCCCGGGAAGAAUAACCCCGAUGAGUCGGGGGAUGCCGGUACCGGGGGAAUAAGGAUCGGCUAACUCCGUG
RNAcentral lists this ribosomal RNA (489 nucleotides) under uncultured bacterium. RNAcentral's name for it is "bacterial SSU rRNA". It matches the Rfam family "Bacterial small subunit ribosomal RNA", at positions 28 to 507 of the family's 1533-position model. The record is from RNAcentral.